RNAcentral lists this ribosomal RNA (547 nucleotides) under uncultured bacterium. RNAcentral's name for it is "bacterial SSU rRNA". It matches the Rfam family "Bacterial small subunit ribosomal RNA", at positions 355 to 895 of the family's 1533-position model. The record is from RNAcentral.
UGGGGAAUUUUGGACAAUGGGCGCAAGCCUGAUCCAGCCAUGCCGCGUGUCUGAAGAAGGCCUUCGGGUUGUAAAGGACUUUUGUCAGGGAAGAAAAGGCUGUCGCUAAUACCGACAGCUGAUGACGGUACCUGAAGAAUAAGCACCGGCUAACUACGUGCCAGCAGCCGCGGUAAUACGUAGGGUGCGAGCGUUAAUCGGAAUUACUGGGCGUAAAGCGAGCGCAGACGGUUACUUAAGCAGGAUGUGAAAUCCCCGGGCUCAACCUGGGAACUGCGUUCUGAACUGGGUGACUAGAGUGUGUCAGAGGGAGGUAGAAUUCCACGUGUAGCAGUGAAAUGCGUAGAGAUGUGGAGGGAUACCGAUGGCGAAGGCAGCCUCCUGGGAUAACACUGACGUUCAUGCUCGAAAGCGUGGGUAGCAAACAGGAUUAGAUACCCUGGUAGUCCACGCCCUAAACGAUGUCAAUUAGCUGUUGGGCAACUUGAUUGCUUAGUAGCGUAGCUACGCGUGAAAUUGACCGCCUGGGGAGUACGGUCGCAAGAUU